RNAcentral lists this ribosomal RNA (273 nucleotides) under uncultured soil bacterium. Its description in RNAcentral is "partial 16S ribosomal RNA". It matches the Rfam family "Bacterial small subunit ribosomal RNA", at positions 26 to 282 of the family's 1533-position model. The record is from RNAcentral.
AGAAUCAACGCUGGCGGCGUGCCUCAGACAUGCAAGUCGAACGCGAAAGUUCCCUUCGGGGAACAAGUAGAGUGGCGCACGGGUGAGUAACACGUAGGUAAUCUACCUUCGGAUGGGGAAUAACAAUCGGAAACGGUUGCUAAUACCGCAUAAUGCAGCGGCACCUAAUGGUGACAGUUGUUAAAGCGAGGGAUCGAAAGACCUCGCGUCUGAAGAGGAGCCUGCGGCGGAUUAGCUAGUUGGUAAGGUAAUGGCUUACCAAGGCUACGAUCC